GACGAACGCUGGCGGCGCGCUUAACACAUGCAAGUCGAACGGAAAGGCCUGCUUUCCCUUGUGGAUUGCGGGUACUCGCGUGGCGAACGGGUGAGUAACACGUGAGUGAUCUGCCCCCAACUUGGGUAUAAGCCUGGGAAACUGGGUCUAAUUCCCGAUAGGACUGCAGGGUGGUGCCUGUGGUGGAAAACGAUUUUCUAGUGGUUGGGGAUGAGCUCGCGGCCUAUCAGCUUGUUGGUGGGGUAAUGGCCUACCAAGGCGGCGACGGGUAGCCGGCCUGAGAGGGUGGACGGCCACAUUGGGACUGAGAUACGGCCCAGACUCCUACGGGAGGCAGCAGUGGGGAAUAUUGCACAAUGGGCGGAAGCCUGAUGCAGCGACGCCGCGUGGGGGAUGACGGCCUUCGGGUUGUAAACUCCUUUCGACCGCGAGGAAGCCACCUGGUUGGAAGGGUGGUGACGGUAGUGGUAGAAGAAGCACCGGCUAACUACGU
This 493-nucleotide ribosomal RNA is filed under the name uncultured bacterium. Its description in RNAcentral is "partial 16S ribosomal RNA". It matches the Rfam family "Bacterial small subunit ribosomal RNA", at positions 28 to 506 of the family's 1533-position model. The record is from RNAcentral.